GACAGAGGGUGCAAGCGUUGUUCGGAAUCAUUGGGCGUAAAGGGCGCGUAGGCGGUUCGGUAAGUCAGAUGUGAAAGCCCAGGGCUCAACCUUGGAAGUGCAUCUGAAACUACUGAACUAGAGUAUCGGAGAGGGUGGUGGAAUCCCCAGUGUAGAGGUGAAAUUCGUAGAUAUUGGGAGGAACACCGGUGGCGAAGGCGACCGCCUGGACGAAUACUGACGCUGAGGCGCGAGAGCGUGGGGAGCAAACAGG
RNAcentral lists this ribosomal RNA (253 nucleotides) under uncultured bacterium. RNAcentral's name for it is "partial 16S ribosomal RNA". It matches the Rfam family "Bacterial small subunit ribosomal RNA", at positions 524 to 776 of the family's 1533-position model. The record is from RNAcentral.